AAGUCGUAACAAGGUCUCCGUAGGUGAACCUGCGGAGGGAUCAUUAACACGUUCCAAAACGUUUCAACCAAAUUCGUCAUGUGAACUUAUAACCUCCCUGAAGUUAGAAAACUACUGCUGUUGUUGAUGCGAAUCUCGUGGUGGGUAUGGCCUCGGCUGUACGAUUUGCUCAGUAACUGUGAGGCGCCUCGGUGACCUCAAGGCAUUUCUUAUCUUUGGGAUUUUUCACCGCCACGGUUUUCUUAACCCCUUUCACUUCGAUUCUGGGUAGGCUUAGGCCGAUACAGAGUCUAACAAAUUGACUGAUUAUUUUUACUGUUGAAAAAUGGUAAAGUUUUAAAAGAACCAAAGCACAACUCUUAGCAACGGAUAUCUUGGUUCUC
Molecule: unclassified non-coding RNA, 383 nt
Filed under: fungal sp.
Lineage: Eukaryota; Fungi
Description: partial internal transcribed spacer region
Rfam family: Eukaryotic small subunit ribosomal RNA (bases 1-46)
Source: RNAcentral